AUACGUAGGUGACAAGCGUUAUCCGGAUUUACUGGGCGUAAAGGGCGUGUAGGCGGUCUUGCAAGUCAGAAGUGAAAUUCCUGAGCUCAACUCGGGCGCUGCUUCUGAAACUGCAGGACUUGAGUGCUGGAGGGGAUAGCGGAAUUCCUAGUGGAGCGGUAAAAUGCGCAGAUAUUAGGAAGAACACCGGUGGCGAAGGCGUCUAUCUGGACAGUAACUGACGCGGAGGCGCGAAAGCGUGGGGAGCAAACAGGAUUAGAUACCCGGGUAGUCCACGCCGUAAACGAUGAAUACUAGGUGUAGGGGGUAUCGACUCCCUCUGUGCCGCAGUUAACACAAUAAGUAUUCCGCCUGGGGAGUACGGCCGCAAGGUUGAAACUCAAAUGAAUUGACGGGG
RNAcentral lists this ribosomal RNA (397 nucleotides) under uncultured bacterium. RNAcentral's name for it is "partial 16S ribosomal RNA". It matches the Rfam family "Bacterial small subunit ribosomal RNA", at positions 523 to 918 of the family's 1533-position model. The record is from RNAcentral.